AAGGUGCAACGCUGCGGCGCCCUACACAUGCAUGUCGAGCGAGCACAACCCUUCGGGGUUGGGGACAGCGGCGAACGGGUAUACACGUGUGUGUACCCACCCUCGGUUCUGGGAUAGCCCGGGGAAACCCGGAUUAUACCGGAUGGCCUUCCGAGCCCUCGGGCGCGGAAGAAAAGGUAGCUUCGGCCUCCGACCGAGGACGGGCCCGCGGCCGAUUAGCUUGUUGGCGGGGUAACGGCCCACCAAUGCGACGAUCGGUAGCUGGUCUGAGAGGACGAUCAGCCACACUGGGACUGAGACACGGCCCAGACUCCUACGGGAGGCAGCAGUGGGGAAUCUUGCGCAAUGGGCGAAAGCCUGACGCAGCGACGCCGCGUACGGGAAGAAGGCCUUCGGGUUGUAAACCGUUUUCAGGAGGGACGAAGCCACUCGGGUUAACAGCCCAGAGGGUGACGGUACCUCCAGAAGAAGCCCCGGCUAACUACGUGCCAGCAGCCGCGGUAAUACGUAGGGGGCAAGCGUUGUCCGGAUUUAUUGGGCGUAAAGCGCGUGUAGGCGGCCAUGUAGGUCUGACGUGAAAUUCCGAGGCUCAACCUCGGCAGGUCGUUGGAAACCAUAUGGCUAGAGUCCG
This 631-nucleotide ribosomal RNA is filed under the name uncultured Rubrobacteria bacterium. RNAcentral describes it as "bacterial SSU rRNA". It matches the Rfam family "Bacterial small subunit ribosomal RNA", at positions 25 to 650 of the family's 1533-position model. The record is from RNAcentral. Lineage: Bacteria; Bacillati; Actinomycetota; Rubrobacteria.